Molecule: Y RNA, 96 nt
Organism: Callithrix jacchus (white-tufted-ear marmoset)
Lineage: Eukaryota; Metazoa; Chordata; Mammalia; Primates; Cebidae
Rfam family: Y RNA
About the family: Y RNAs are components of the Ro ribonucleoprotein particle (Ro RNP), in association with Ro60 and La proteins. The Y RNAs and Ro60 and La proteins are well conserved, but the function of the Ro RNP is not known. In humans the RNA component can be one of four small RNAs -- hY1, hY3, hY4 and hY5.
Source: Ensembl
GGCUGGUCUGAUGGUAGUCAGUUAUCAGAACUUAUUAACAUUAGUGUCACUAAAGUUGGUAUACAACCCCCCACUGCUAAAUUUGACUGGCUUUAA